GAUUUGGCAUACAGACCUUAUGAAAGCAGUUUUAGUAAAGCAGUCCUCAUUUCAAGUGUUAUCCAUAGAUACUCUUCUGCAUGAGCCUUCUCCAAAUUGCCCAGUAAGUCCUCAUUUGCAAUCAGGCCAUGUUCGCCACAACUUGUGGCUCAAAAAAAUUAAAGGAUGUAUCUAUGUCAAAUAAAAUGACUGGUUUAGUAAAAUGGUUUAACUCUGAAAAAGGCUUCGGUUUCAUUAGCCCAACUGAUGGUAGCAAGGAUGUUUUUGUACAUUUUUCUGCUAUUCAGAGUAAUGAUUAUAAAACGUUGGAUGAAGGCCAAAAGGUUGAGUUCUCGAUUGAGAAUGGCGCCAAGGGGCCGGCAGCUGCUAACGUUAUCGCGCUGUAAUACCUGA
This 393-nucleotide small RNA is filed under the name Enterobacter cloacae. RNAcentral's name for it is "cspA thermoregulator". It matches the Rfam family "cspA thermoregulator", at positions 4 to 380 of the family's 428-position model. Lineage: Bacteria; Pseudomonadati; Pseudomonadota; Gammaproteobacteria; Enterobacterales; Enterobacteriaceae. The record is from RNAcentral.